This 348-nucleotide long non-coding RNA is filed under the name Linum usitatissimum (flax). RNAcentral's name for it is "long non-coding RNA (LUSI_LNC004457)". The record is from RNAcentral. Lineage: Eukaryota; Viridiplantae; Streptophyta; Magnoliopsida; Malpighiales; Linaceae.
CAUUACUAUCAAAAUGUGAUCACAGGCUUUGCUGCUAAGCUUACACCGGAAGAAGCCAAAGCAAUGGAGAAGAAGGAAGGGUUUGUGUCAGCAAGAGUCGAGAGAUCCUUGUCUCUACAUACUACUCACACUCCCGAGUUCUUAGGUCUGCUGCAAAAUCAAGGGAGCUAUUGGAGCUCUGCACAUUUCGGUAGAGGAGUGAUCAUUGGUGUUAUUGAUAGUGGCAUCAAGCAUGAUCACCCUUCGUUUGGUGAUGAAGGGAUGCCUCCACCUCCUGCAAGAUGGAAAGGUAAGUGUGAGUUCAACGGGAAGAAGACUUGUAACAACAAGCUUAUAGGUGCUAGAAGC